GCGCCCCGGGGUCCCGGGCGGGGGACAGCGGGCCGCCGGCGGGCGAGGCCGCGCUCACCUUGCUCUUCACUUCCACCGCGCUGCACUCCAGAUUAGAGGAGCUGCUUUUCUGCGCUUCAAUUUUUGCCCGCUUCUUCAACUUUGAAUUAAACACUCAUCACAGUAAACAAGAGCAGAGCUGGGACACAUGUUUAAAGCAGCUUCAGAGAACUUGUUCUGCUGUUGUCUACUCUUCACACACCUAUGCUGUACCUUGAUGAGCAGUGACUUCAUCUCCAUAUACCAGCAGGGAAUCAAAAAAUGCUUGUUCUCAGACUGCCCUGGCUCCAUGGUGCACCAGGUGCUGCAGCUCCUAUCAGCUGCUUCCCCCUCAAACUCUUGCCAUAUUUUCAAUAUGAAGAAUUUUCAGUAAUGAAGAUGGUUUUAAUUUAACUGCUUUUACUCAGACACCUUUCAGCUCUUUUCUCAUCAUUUGCCAAGGGCACCACAUUCCUUUAGUAACUUCUAUAAGUCUUCAUCUGUUUUGGUAAUCUGUAAUUAGUUUUCCCAUUUCUCACCUGCAGAGCUAAAAUCAGCAUUUCUUCCGUGGCUGCUGUGUCCCAGCCCUUGCUGACAUGGCUGGAGUGGGGUGGGCUCGGCAGUCAUUCAUCCCCAGCCCGGCCCCUUAGCCCCUUUCUGCACCCAUCACAGCCACCAAAUACCCUCAUUUCUUGCCCUAAGUAUGGCAGGGAUGCUAGCGCAGGAAUCCUAUCAGGCCAUAUAUUUAAAAAUAAAUAUUCAAUUACU
Long non-coding RNA from Dromaius novaehollandiae (emu), 786 nucleotides. RefSeq lists it as uncharacterized. The transcript is spliced from 3 exons. NCBI's taxonomy places the organism in Eukaryota, Metazoa, Chordata, Aves, Casuariiformes, Dromaiidae. The record is from RefSeq and is a predicted model, not a curated record.